RNAcentral lists this transfer RNA (67 nucleotides) under Zygaena marcuna tingitana. RNAcentral's name for it is "transfer RNA-Val (GUN)". Lineage: Eukaryota; Metazoa; Arthropoda; Insecta; Lepidoptera; Zygaenidae. The record is from RNAcentral.
CAAAUUAAAGUUUAUAUAAAUAUUUCAUUUACAUUGAAAAGAGAUUGAUUUGUUUCAUUUGAUUUGG